AACUCUUAUAUACCAGUAUGUACCAAUAAAUAUGCAUUUUACACAUGGCUGCCCCUCUUGGUUUGUCAAUUUAAGUUUCUUUUUUUUAGCCAAAAAGGUAUUCCAUGACUUUGAUAUCGUUCAAGUGCUUCUUCCCUGUUUAACAUAUUCUUAAUCUUGGGAUUUUACAUAAAUGUGCGAUAAUGUUGGACAGCCUGGGAUGCCAAGACAGCCACCUAACUCACAGCCAAAUCCAUUUGGGAGUUCCUACUUUGCAGGAUUGUCUUUUGCUUGUCAGCUUUUGUAUCUACUAGAUGCUACUGGGUUCUAUUCUUUAGGAUUACACGUUCUUGGGAUUCAUGUUUGUCGAGCUACAGGGCAGGAGCUGGUACUUAUUCUAGAGGCCCUUCAAAAUGGAGUCUCUUGAUGAAUCUACCUCUUCCUCCAUCAGCCAUGGUAUUCAUGUCUUCCAUUGCCCAGAUGAGUUGGGAAUAGUUGCAAAGCUAUCAGAAUGUAUUGCUUCAAUAGGUGGAAACAUUCUCAAUGCUGAUGUUUUUGUGCCCGAGGACAAGAAUGUGUUUUACUCUAGAAGAUUGUAACCUGGCAUUCACAAUUUGCAAACAUUUGAUGCUGGCGUCAAAUUAAUUGGUGCACCAAGUCACUUUGUUACUAAAGAACUUGACUUGGCUAGGUUCAAGACUUGACAAGGUUUAUGGGUGCACAAUUGCAGGUUGCUUUGGAUGAAGCAGUUUUCUUGUUGGAUUUGGCUUCUGUGGAAGGCACCUGGGAUGACAAUUUGGAGCGGAUUGCUGAAUGUUAUCGGGAAGCUGGGCUCCAUGAAAUUGCCAAAUUUGUGCUAUACAGAAAUUGAACUGAAGUUGAUUUUGGCAUAUGCUUAUCUUGCUUUCAUGUACAUUUCCAAUUUUGUAAUCUGCUGCCGCCUACAAUUCUGGAAUUACAUCUGAAGAUGAUAUUUUGGAUUAUGUUAUGACGUUGAUUAUAACAUCUAAUUGAAUUCAAGACCAAG
Molecule: long non-coding RNA, 1006 nt
Organism: Coffea eugenioides
Lineage: Eukaryota; Viridiplantae; Streptophyta; Magnoliopsida; Gentianales; Rubiaceae
Exons: 5
Source: RefSeq, a predicted model, not a curated record